AGAGUUUGAUCCUGGCUCAGGACGAACGCUGGCGGCGCGCCUAACACAUGCAAGUCGAACGAGAGAUGAGGAGCUUGCUCUUCAAAUCGAGUGGCGAACGGGUGAGUAACGCGUGAGGAACCUGCCUCAAAGAGGGGGACAACAGUUGGAAACGACUGCUAAUACCGCAUAAGCCCACGGCUCGGCAUCGAGCAGAGGGAAAAGGAGCAAUCCGCUUUGAGAUGGCCUCGCGUCCGAUUAGCUAGUUGGUGAGGUAACGGCCCACCAAGGCGACGAUCGGUAGCCGGACUGAGAGGUUGAACGGCCACAUUGGGACUGAGACACGGCCCAGACUCCUACGGGAGGCAGCAGUGGGGAAUAUUGCACAAUGGGGGAAACCCUGAUGCAGCGACGCCGCGUGGAGGAAGAAGGUCUUCGGAUUGUAAACUCCUGUUGUUGAGGAAGAUAAUGACGGUACUCAACAAGGAAGUGACGGCUAACUACGUGCCAGCAGCCGCGGUAAAACGUAGGUCACAAGCGUUGUCCGGAAUUACUGGGUGUAAAGGGAGCGCAGGCGGGAGAACAAGUUGGAAGUGAAAUCCAUGGGCUCAACCCAUGAACUGCUUUCAAAACUGUUUUUCUUGAGUAGUGCAGAGGUAGGCGGAAUUCCCGGUGUAGCGGUGGAAUGCGUAGAUAUCGGGAGGAACACCAGUGGCGAAGGCGGCCUACUGGGCACCAACUGACGCUGAGGCUCGAAAGUGUGGGUAGCAAACAGGAUUAGAUACCCUGGUAGUCCACACCGUAAACGAUGAUUACUAGGUGUUGGAGGAUUGACCCCUUCAGUGCCGCAGUUAACACAAUAAGUAAUCCACCUGGGGAGUACGACCGCAAGGUUGAAACUCAAAGGAAUUGACGGGGGCCCGCACAAGCAGUGGAGUAUGUGGUUUAAUUCGACGCAACGCGAAGAACCUUACCAAGUCUUGACAUCCCUUGACGAUGCUGGAAACAGUAUUUCUCUUCGGAGCAAGGAGACAGGUGGUGCAUGGUUGUCGUCAGCUCGUGUCGUGAGAUGUUGGGUUAAGUCCCGCAACGAGCGCAACCCUUAUGGUCAGUUACUACGCAAGAGGACUCUGGCCAGACUGCCGUUGACAAAACGGAGGAAGGUGGGGAUGACGUCAAAUCAUCAUGCCCUUUAUGACUUGGGCUACACACGUACUACAAUGGCGUUAAACAAAGAGAAGCAAGACCGCGAGGUGGAGCAAAACUCAGAAACAACGUCCCAGUUCGGACUGCAGGCUGCAACUCGCCUGCACGAAGUCGGAAUUGCUAGUAAUCGUGGAUCAGAAUGCUGCGGUGAAUAAGUUCCCGGGUCUUGCACUCACCGCCCGUCA
Molecule: ribosomal RNA, 1370 nt
Filed under: uncultured bacterium
Lineage: Bacteria
Description: bacterial SSU rRNA
Rfam family: Bacterial small subunit ribosomal RNA
Source: RNAcentral